AUGGCGUCUGCAGCGGAGGCCGCCGGAGACGCCUCCACCUCCGCGGCCGAGGUGCGGGAGAAGCCCGUCGUCGUCCGGGUCAAGCGCAAGCCCUCGCAGGCCCGCCUCGACGCUUUCUGGCUGGAGAUCAAUGAGAGGCCCAUGAAGAAGGCCAUGCUCGAUUUCUCGAGCCUCUCCAUCUCCCAACCCUCCUCCAGUGCCCAAGCUUCAGAGGAACCACGGGUGAAGAAGCUUCUUGUCCAGCAUGUCGAGACAGUCCAUCAUUCUGGGGCUGUUGAAGACGUUCUUCACUCCCUUUUGCAUUCUGACCUGAGCACCAAAGAGAUAAAGAGCAAGACAAAGGAGAGGAAUGAAAGAAUGAAGCAAGACAAAAAACAAGACCAGCUACGUUCAGCAGCCAGACAGAGACAUGAGAAUCUUGGAAGAAAUGCCCGCUUUGCACAAAUAUGGAAGAGUCGGAAAGGAGACAAUAAUGAGGUUGAUGAAACACUGAGAGAAAUGUGUCAUCUUUAUGAUGCUGUCCAAGUAGAUUCUGAUGGAGAGAAGCAUCCAGCAGAACCACAGAUGACCUCUGUCGAAGAGGGUGCGAUUUUAUGCAACUUUCUUCCGCUUCUACGGGAACACUUGCCGUCGGCUGCUGAAGAAAUCGAAUCUGAUAUUGUUUCGCUAGCACAGUCAGAAGAUUCAGAUGUUUAUGACAUAUAUACUGUCAAGGAGGUGGAUGAUACAAACAUGGAGGAGGGCGCAUCUGCAGCUUCAUACCCACUGUUACAAGUGGACGAUGAGGAUGGCGAAUGUUACGAUGAUGAUGAGUAUCCAUAUGACACGGAUGACUCAAAUGCCGAAGACAACCCACUCUAUGAUUAUCCUGAAGAACUUUCAGAGGAUGAGGAUGAUGAUAGCAGUGACGAGAAUCCAUUUGCGGAUAUAGAUGGCUCUGGUUCCGAGUACGAGAAUGAAGAGGUGGAAAAAUCCGAUGAGGAGGAGUAG
Molecule: ribosomal RNA, 990 nt
Filed under: Triticum aestivum (bread wheat)
Lineage: Eukaryota; Viridiplantae; Streptophyta; Magnoliopsida; Poales; Poaceae
Description: partial small subunit ribosomal RNA
Source: RNAcentral